RNAcentral lists this ribosomal RNA (21 nucleotides) under Sarocladium strictum. RNAcentral's name for it is "partial 18S ribosomal RNA". RNAcentral also lists the same sequence under 5 other names. The record is from RNAcentral. Lineage: Eukaryota; Fungi; Ascomycota; Sordariomycetes; Hypocreales; Sarocladiaceae.
UAACCUGCGGAGGGAUCAUUA